GCGGACUGUCGCGGGCAACGGCGGCGCGGACUGGCGCGGGCUCCGGGGGCGGCUGACCGGGGAUGAACGGGCUCCCCAAACCCUAGUUCUUGGAUGUUGGAGGAAAGUGAGAGGGAGGAAAGUGAGGGGGGAGGGGAGGGGGUCACCGUCUCCUGCACGGGCGGGUGUAAGAGAGGAAGGAGCGCGGGCGGAUGGGGUCACGGAGGGCGGGGCGCCGGCGAGGAUGACCUGGGUGGGCACCGCCGCGGUUGCUUCGGGUGGAAGGGGAGGGGAGCAAGAUUGACGGUGGCUGGUCCGUAGAACAAGCAAAUUGGGGAACAAGACGAAGAGAAGAGAAGAGAAAGAGAAGAGAAGAAACUACGUGGACGCGGUAAAAAGGCG
Molecule: long non-coding RNA, 381 nt
Filed under: Oryza brachyantha (malo sina)
Lineage: Eukaryota; Viridiplantae; Streptophyta; Magnoliopsida; Poales; Poaceae
Description: long non-coding RNA (OBRA_LNC003409)
Source: RNAcentral